This 249-nucleotide ribosomal RNA is filed under the name uncultured bacterium. RNAcentral describes it as "partial 16S ribosomal RNA". It matches the Rfam family "Bacterial small subunit ribosomal RNA", at positions 84 to 334 of the family's 1533-position model. The record is from RNAcentral.
UUUGAUGGCGACCGGCGCACGGGUGAGUAACACGUAUCCAACCUGCCGAUGACUCGGGGAUAGCCUUUCGAAAGAAAGAUUAAUACCCGAUGGCAUAGUUCUUCCGCAUGGUAGAACUAUUAAAGAAUUUCGGUCAUCGAUGGGGAUGCGUUCCAUUGGGUUGUUGGCGGGGUAACGGCCCACCAAGCCUUCGAUGGAUAGGGGUUCUGAGAGGAAGGUCCCCCACAUUGGAACUGAGACACGGUCCAA